RNAcentral lists this non-coding RNA (32 nucleotides) under Homo sapiens (human). The record is from RNAcentral. Lineage: Eukaryota; Metazoa; Chordata; Mammalia; Primates; Hominidae.
UCACCGUCGAGAGUGAAUUAACAGGACAAACG